Molecule: ribosomal RNA, 497 nt
Filed under: uncultured bacterium
Lineage: Bacteria
Description: partial 16S ribosomal RNA
Rfam family: Bacterial small subunit ribosomal RNA
Source: RNAcentral
GACGAACGCUGGCGGCGUGCCUAAUACAUGCAAGUUGAGCGAUGAAGAUUGGUGCUUGCACCAAUUUGAAGAGCAGCGAACGGGUGAGUAACGCGUGGGGAAUCUGCCUUUGAGCGGGGGACAACAUUUGGAAACGAAUGCUAAUACCGCAUAACAACUUUAAACAUAAGUUUUAAGUUUGAAAGAUGCAAUUGCAUCACUCAAAGAUGAUCCCGCGUUGUAUUAGCUAGUUGGUGAGGUAAAGGCUCACCAAGGCGAUGAUACAUAGCCGACCUGAGAGGGUGGUCGGCCACAGUGGGGCUGAGACACGGCCCAAACUCCUACGGGAGGCAGCAGUAGGGAAUCUUCGGCAAUGGACGAAAGUCUGAACGAGCAACGCCGCGUGAGUGAAGAAGGUUUUCGGAUCGUAAAACUCUGUUGGUAGAGAAGAACGUUGGUGAGAGUGGAAAGCUCAUCAAGUGACGGUAACUACCCAGAAAGGGACGGCUAACUACGUG